RNAcentral lists this long non-coding RNA (721 nucleotides) under Phasianus colchicus (ring-necked pheasant). Its description in RNAcentral is "lncRNA (ENSPCLG00000006449.1)". The record is from RNAcentral. Lineage: Eukaryota; Metazoa; Chordata; Aves; Galliformes; Phasianidae.
GUUGAAUGAACGUGACUGGAAACCACUCUAAAGUCUUUUUAAAAUUGAUUUAAUUUCAGGUAUUCAUGAAGAUUCUUAGGCCCCACUGGUUUUGCUUGUGUUUUAGAAUAUUUAAGAAUAAGUCUGUGCUUAAGAGCAAUUUUGAGCCACGGGCAGAGUGAAUGAAGACUGCAGUGUGGAACCCCCUUUCAAGACGUGAAACCAAGGAUUCUGCUUCAUUUUGACUGAAGGUGGUUUGAACAAAAGUGGGAGUUAGUAUAAAAACGAGAUAGAUGGAUUGUUUGAAUACAUUAGACAAACUCCAGCAGAGAAAGAUGAAGCACCACUGUUGUCAACACUGCCACUCUGCAGAUCUGCAGAGAUCAUUGCCAAUUGAGUGGGAAGGAUCCUGCCAGAAUCUGAGACACAGGAGCAUAGACUUGGAAGUCAUAAAAUUCUGAAGAAGCUACUCACUCUAAACUGCUCAAGUUUCCACAAGCACCAGGAAUAUUUAAAAAAUUUCACUGUGUUACAGGUAAUUAGCUGUUAUAAUUGAUGAUGUUGAAUGGCACAGACAUGAGAGACAUAAUCACACCUUGUAAAGAAAGAAUGGAACACAAGGAAGUCGGUAACAGUUUGGUGUGAAAGGCUGAUAAGGACUCUUAGCCAGUUCAGAGACACGGUUACCAGACGUACAGUUCCGGAUGUCAGGAUUUCCUAUGAUAUGCUACUUCCGGUCAGG